This 381-nucleotide ribosomal RNA is filed under the name Methylobacterium sp. Its description in RNAcentral is "bacterial SSU rRNA". It matches the Rfam family "Bacterial small subunit ribosomal RNA", at positions 29 to 435 of the family's 1533-position model. Lineage: Bacteria; Pseudomonadati; Pseudomonadota; Alphaproteobacteria; Hyphomicrobiales; Methylobacteriaceae. The record is from RNAcentral.
AGCGAACGCUGGCGGCAGGCUUAACACAUGCAAGUCGAGCGGGCAUCUUCGGAUGUCAGCGGCAGACGGGUGAGUAACACGUGGGAACGUACCCUUCGGUUCGGAAUAACGCUGGGAAACUAGCGCUAAUACCGGAUACGCCCUUUUGGGGAAAGGUUUACUGCCGAAGGAUCGGCCCGCGUCUGAUUAGCUAGUUGGUGGGGUAACGGCCUACCAAGGCGACGAUCAGUAGCUGGUCUGAGAGGAUGAUCAGCCACACUGGGACUGAGACACGGCCCAGACUCCUACGGGAGGCAGCAGUGGGGAAUAUUGGACAAUGGGCGCAAGCCUGAUCCAGCCAUGCCGCGUGAGUGAUGAAGGCCUUAGGGUUGUAAAGCUCUU